AUGGUUCACUCAGAGGCGUUUUUCUCGGACUCAGAAGAGUCAGACGUAGAGAAUGGCAAUAUGCAUCUGUCUACACUCGUUGAGGAGGAGGAGUCUGUUUACAUCGACCUUCUUUUCCGGGAAUGCACAGAAGGAAUCAAUGAUGUAAAAAGAGAUGAAGAAGAGGAAGAAGAGGAAGAAGAGAUGAAAUUCAGCGUUCAUGAGGAGCUUGCUGGAGUGCCUGCAGCUGUGUGUGAAUAUGGAGGCGGAGAUAGGAAUCUGAGGGGGAAAAUGAGCACAGAUCCUACAACUGACUGCUACAAGGAUGCUGAGCUGGAGACCUCAGCCUGAAGCUGAGUAGAACUGGAGAUCUUAUGGCGCUUGGCGACACUUAUGUGCUCACCCUUCUACUCCACUAUGAAUGAACAACUAAGUGGCACUUUAGUUUUUAAUCCAAAGACUGAGACGAAGUCUUAGAAAUAAGUUUUACUUUUAAUGUUAUAUGCCAUAUGAAACAACUUUUGUACCUUUACUACUUAUAUUUCUUAUUCUUUAUGUAAUAAAUAAAUAUACCGAUAAGUACCC
This 564-nucleotide long non-coding RNA is filed under the name Dasypus novemcinctus (nine-banded armadillo). RNAcentral describes it as "lncRNA (ENSDNOG00000050724.1)". The record is from RNAcentral. Lineage: Eukaryota; Metazoa; Chordata; Mammalia; Cingulata; Dasypodidae.